AUGCUGCCUAGCAACAGCGGCAGCGUGGUCACUUGCGCAGAUUUCUGCGCCUCUUCCUGUUUGGUCUGCUGGAAAAUACAGAUGGCUUCUAUGGGUCGCUCUCUGCCCUAGCCAUAGUGAGAGGGAGAGAUCAUCUCUCGAAAACCUCCCAUCAGAGCAACGAUUCUGGGAGUUUGAGCAGAAUGCUUAAGGCAGUGGUUCUAAAAUUCCACACCACCUGUUCUUCCAGUUGUGUCCUCUCUGAGCUGCCUCUGACGGUCACAUUCCAUGGCCAUGUGCCACAGCAGACUUGUGAUACUGAUUUUAGUGUUGUCCUUGGCCAUUGCGGGCAGGGAGGAAGGAGAGAGAAGAGAAGGGGAGAGAAGAAGAGAAAUGGGAGUGGGAUCCAUUCAUCCAUCUCUCUGUCAUUAGGGGCCCAGCAGUUCCCACUAUGGUACCCAGGAAACUAGCUUGGACCUGGAGGCCAUCCAGUGACCUAAUCUGGACCAAUAAAGCCACCAGGCCAUUUUCCUGCGUCGGACAUGCUUUCUCAGCUGCCCUUCCCCUUAGCUAGGGCUGAAAUGACUCGUCUUCCCAUGCCCUAGUUCCAUGGGGUUUCCUCUCUGUGACUCAGGACAGAGGGCUUGGUUGCCACCAAAGGCAGCUUAUGCUGUAGCUUCAGGUCUAGCCUGACUCAGUGGCCUUCCCUCAGCUAUUCACUAUGGAGGCACUUAAUGAAGAAGACACAAGGGUAGCAGGCCUGAGGGAUAACUUCAAGGCUAACGUGUCUUUUUUCCAGUACUUACUCUUCUUUUGAGUUUUAAGAAUUCCAGAUUUUAUUCUAAGUCAGAGAAUACUGCGAGAAAGGAUUUUAUUGUAUCCACUCCCUCCAAAUGGCAUGAACAUCUGGAUUUGCAUCCUUCCCAUGACAGAUAUCACAAAUUGGGUUGGGUUUUGCACGCUUAGGAUGAUUUUUGGUAUUCAGCUAACACCCUUCCUUUAAGGAAGUUAGAACACUUGAUAAAUUUUAAGCUUUUGAUCCUCAGUAGUACCCCUGGAAAACUGAGGUCCAGUGAGGUAAAUUGUCUUGAUUAAUUAUAUGGCAUGCACUGCUUUUUGGUGGCUCUUUUGUUGUGUUUUGUUUUUUCUUUCUCCUUCAUUUUGUUAAAAUGAAUUAUGUGAAUGUCCAGGUCAGCAGUGUUCUAUUUUCGUAGGGUAAGCCGCAUCACUAGUACUGUUUAUUUCCACUGUGCCUAUUUUUCAGGGAACUCUGUGCAUUUCCACAUUUCCAUCGCCAGCUCUAAGAAGGUACAUCUGCAGAGUUUGUUGUGACCCCGUUUCAGAACGGACAGAACCAAGUGCAGGCUUACUCUAUUUGGUAGAGACUGAGUCCCAGCAAGCAGAAGUGUCUUGCCAAGGGGAUGCAACUAUGAAUAGGAAAUGGAACUAAAAAUAGAACCUAGGUAUGACCCCAGAUAUUUGACCACUCUCACCAACAUGAUUUCUCCUUCUGGUCUCAGACCAGGACAUUCAAGGCAUCUCUCCAUUUUCAUAUGGAGAAGCAUCCAGCUAUGUCUCCGUGGUUGAUUAGGAGACCAUAUCUUUCAGGAGUCAUGUUGAAACUUGUCAGGAUAGUUCCUAAGGUCCUGAGGCCUAGGAUAGUACUGUAACCUGGCCCCGUGAAAUCUUUGGUAGAUGGUAAGUGUUCAGUAUGAAUUUAUUUAUUUGAUUAGGUGUUUUUUUUAUCAUGGUGAAUACAGUUCCUUUAAUAUCAGCAAAGACUUAGUGAACAUGUGCUCUUUGCCUCACAGAAAAUAGAAAAUGAGAUAUUAGAAGGAAAUAGAACAAAAACUAUCUGCCUUCAAGGAGCUCACAGUCUAGUUCUGGAGACUGGACAUACGCAGUCUCUGCUGUCUGCUUGGACUGGUGUCACUGUGAUCAUUCUCAGGUAACGAGCCACCUUUUAUUCUUUUACCCAGCCCAAUUGUUUUAGAUGAAAGGAUAGAGAAGCCGGCGUCUGCUGUGAUGGAGGUGAUGUUUUAUUUUAAGAUAAAGUAUAGAAGCAACUGAUUGAUGGAUUAUAAACUGGGAGGUCCAGGAUAAAGCUUCAUUCUGAGGACAUCAGUAUAUUUCACUGGGAGCCUCCUGGGCAUUAAUUCUGCCAUUAAUUUUGUUAUUAGAAACCUAGCCAAACAAAGGGAGGUGGCGAAGCUUGAGGCUGGUUUAACCUUGAUGAAACAGUGAUUUCACCAAGGAUGAUGUUGCCCCAUCCAUCUUCAUCCAUCAAGGCACUGCUGAAAUAUGCUAAUGAAGCCCAAAGAUAGGAGCACAGAGCAGUUAAAUGGGGCGUUGCAGACGCUCUCCGUACCCCCAUGACAGGGUGAUGCCAUUUACUGUCCAGAUUUAGUAUAGGAAAGAGAGCAAUGCUGACGUGGUGUCGUGGUGGAAGACAGAAUGGAGGCUCCACCUAAUAAAAAGAAAGGGCAAAGUUCGGGGUAUAUAUUCUAGAAGAAGAUGGGAAAACUUGGUUUUUGGUGAAGGGGUUGGUUUUCUUAAUUCUCUUUGGCUCACUUUCUAGCCAGUCCACACAAGAACCAGAUAUGUGGCAUACUGCAGAUAGGGCAACAUUUUUAAGUUCCAGAAUGUGACCUCCCACCGUGUGCCAAAGCAAGUUAUCUGUUACUAUGUCAGUCUGCAGCACUGUUUGUUUCCAAUGGUACAUGAGCUAAUACCUUGGCUUUAUUUAUUUACUUUUUUAAGUUACAGCCUUUUGGAUACUUAUGACAUGCUGGGCAUACUACUGAAUUAUUUUAUGUGUAUUAAUCUAAUUAGAUUCUUACAAAUAGCCGAUGAAGAAGCAAAGUUAUCACAUAUAUUUUAUAGAUGAAGUUUGAGAGGCUAAAUUCAUGUCCAAAAUUAUGUAACCAGUAAGUGGCAUAGUAGAGGUUUAAACUCAUGUCUACCCGACUCCAAAGCCUUUGCACAAAAUCACUGUGGUCUGAAGACUCUUAUGUAAGAUAUAGCUGGGAAUCCCUGAUAACCAUUGGGAUCAGCUUGACUCACAUAUUUAUUGCUUGUAUAUUCUUUGGAUUCAGUUUAACUUUAACUUUGGCAUUCCCUUCACAAUUCUUUCUUUUGUAAAUAGACUAUAAGUUCUCUGAGGUCAGCAGCCAAGCCCUUUCUCUAAUCUCCUAAAUGUUGAUGACGUACCUAGUUUCUACGUGGAGUGUUUACUUUUGGCAUCAUGCUUCUAAUGUGUGGUUAAAAAAGGCUGGCCAGCUGCUUUCUGGUUUUCAUUUCAUACAUUAGAUGAAAGCCGUGGGGGAUUUUACUUGUCUUUACAAGUUAAUUCUACAGGAUUCACAGUAAAAUUUCUGUUUCUUUGAAUUUAUUGGUGGAUCCACUUUUGUUUCCUGCUAGUACAUUACCUAUCUAGUCUGUAUCCAACUGUACAGAAAAAAGUAAACAGCAAAUGAAAUUUUAUUAUUACGUAUUAAACAGCAUCUUUGGAGCAGUCUAUAUUAGGAGGUGUGUGUCAAAUUCUACUCAUCUUAGGACCCUAGACAGUUCCUCUAAGAGAGCCUACCACCCUUCGUUUACAAAAUGCAGACCCUGAGCUAAGAGGUGGUCUUGGGCAAAUCAGGCAAAACAAUUCCUAAAUCUAAAACAUUUAUCAGCUUUUUUUUUUUUUCCUAAAUGGAGAUAAAGUUGGAAGUUAAAAACAAAAAAGGAUGGAUUAAAAAAUAUUUAAAUAAGAUGCCAAGUGACAUGAAUUUCCUGAAAUAGACUGUUUGAGGAUAAAAACUGUAUCUUGGCCUUAAUGUGUCUUGUGCCAUUUAUUAAAUCAGUUCUGAACUUUGGGGACUCCAGACUGUUAUUAAAGAGUUAAUAACUAAAGGCUUCAACGUCCAGGAUGUUGUGUGGGUCAGUGUAUCUUGCCAAGAGGUAACAUCAGCCAGUGGAAUCAGUUGGGCUCUCCGUCUGGCAGAUCUGUCUCUCUCAGCUGCUCCUCCUCCAGUUUCUAGUCUUGGAGUUCAUAUACAGUAAAUCUUUCUCUUAAUAAAGCCGUUUUUCAAAUCUGACUUUGGACUAGGGACUGCUUUUUCUCCAAAUGCAACAGCUGUUAAACAUGGUGCAUUGGGCACGGUGUAUAUCUCUUUGUUUAGUUUUGGGUUUUUAAUAUGAGCAGAGACAUAAAGGAGUGGGAGGACUCUAUCGAUUUCUUUCUACCCAUGAGUCAUCCACUGGGUUUGGAAAUAAGGCCUCCAGCCUCAAAAGGCUUCUGGGCUCCCUGGGCUUCUCACCCUUAAGGAUGAAGCCUAUUGUGCCCUAAUAACGAGUACAGGAUUCCCCCCCUUCUUUUGGUGAGAUAGAAUUGUGGAGCUCAAGGUGUCCGCCAGCAGAGGCCAGACCUUUUGGCCCCUAUCUGUCCCAUUUACAUGGGGAAAAGCAUUUUUGCCCCCUUGCUCUCUGGUCCUUCUGUCACUGUCUCUGUUCCCAAUGCACUGGGGAGCAUUAACUCCCUGAAGGGGAAAAAAGUUCACAAAAGAAAUGAAUUAUGCAUAUGGAAUUCAUUUCCUUGAUGAAUAGGGAAUCUGAACAAACUCCAUGGCUGUUUGAUUUUAAGGCAGAGGAGAAGGGGGGCUUAGGACUAAAGAGUAUAGUGGGGGAUGAUCAAAAGGAACUUGGAACAAGAGAAGUGGGAGAAAAACCAUGGCAGGAGGACUUGGGAUGGAAAUAUUGAGGACAAAGUAAGGGGAUCUUUGAAAAUAGUUGAGGGCCCAUUGUUCUUGCCAACACGUACACACAGAUAUAUACCUCACUUCCGAUUAAUGUGCAAAUUUGUCCCCAGGGAAAUUGGAAAUGGUAAUGAGAUUAUACUGGGCAGAAAUGACAACACUAAGGUGAUGUGACCGUCCUGAAUUAAAGUUUUUUCAGUGAUUUUUUUACCUUCUUCAGUCCAGGUUAACAAUGGGCACUUUGAAUUUUGAGGCAGGAGUUGUGUGAUAGGUAAAGAACUGCAUUGAGAAGUGGAAGACUUGGAUCCAAGCCUCAGAAGACACAGACUGUGUGACUGUGGGCAAGUCACCUCAUCUUUCUGUCUCAGUUAUCUCAUCUAUAAGUGGGGAUUAUGGCAACUGCCCUGGGGAAAAAAUUAUAAGGCCAAACAAAAGUGCUUUUAUGCAUAACACAAGAUACGUAUCUGAAGGGAUUUUAUUUUUCUCUCUGUGCCUCCUUUUCUUGAUGGCAUUUUGGAUAUUCAGACCUAGUCUUUUCAGCAAGCCAGAAUUUCUUUGGAGCAGAAGAAUGAAGGGGAAAUUGAUUCAGGAGCAGCAUGCUGGUUAAAGGAACAAAGAAACAAGCGAAAAAUCCCAUUUUAAUCCUCGCCUCAUCUAUGUUAUGAAAACCAUUUAAAAUAAUCAAUCUGAUGUUUUUGGCAAAUUUAGGUACUGAAUCAGUAGUGGUUACUGCAUAACUAGUUUGAUCAACAGUAGGAAAGCUUGUCAUUGACAGCCACAUACAUUAUGGAAUCAACCAGAGGGUGGUUUUUAGAGCUUCCCUCGUAGGCUGACUACCUAGAAGAGGCAACCUCUGUCCUGGCUGCCAAAGACCUGUGGAUGCUUCCGAGGGGGAGAUAUGGCCAAACUGACCCCUUACUUCUAAUUGUGCUCCAUUAUUCCUUGUUUCUGAAUGGAAAAAAGACUUGGGGACACUAAGUCUUCAGGAGAGAUAACAGGUAGAAAGUCACACAUACCUGUGCACAUUUGUUAGGGAUCUGUCCGUGCUGGUUGAGAGGAGAGAGAUUUUUUUUGAUAGUUAUGGGGUCUUAAAUCCAUUUCAGGAUUGAGUAGAUUGAGCAGGUCCAACUACCGCCAUGUCUCUUUAUUUUUCUCACCACCCAAUUUCAGUACAUGGAGUUUUUCACAGAGGUGUGUUUGUUUUACAGCAAAUCCUUCUUAGGGGUCAGGAUGUGUAGUGGAAUGCAAUUAUAUCCUUUAGGACUGCCCACCGCAAACACAUGCUGUGCACUCAUACCUUUAGUGUGGUGGCAUUCAGUCUGGUUUGCAGGUCAUGGCCCUCGGAAGAGUGUGGAGAUGUCCCAGGACAGCCUUCCUGGUAGUAAGGGGGGCAGCCCUACAGGCUCAGGGGUCCCACCCCAACUUCAACCCCUGCACCUUUGUUUCAUGGAUUUUAUUUGCUUGGGUUUAUGGGAAAGAAUCUGCUUUUAAGAAACCUUUGAAACCCAGUGGUGCAGAGAAUAGACCAAUGCCUAGUAUGAAUUAUUUAUUUGUUUAUUAAGAUUUUCAUGUACCUUCCCUUUCAAAGCUCAAGGCACUGAAUGAACUCUUCAGACUGAUAGCAGUUAGCACUAAAGGUUGAACAGGGGCCGUUGGAGGAGGAACCACUAGGGGGGAUGAGAAAAGAGGGAAGAAGAGCAGAGAGAAGAGCACGGCAGUCCGGACCCCAGAGCCACCACUACAGCCAAAGGAGGAAAAUUGUAAAGACUGCAGGCUUUCCAGGAAGGAAUCCAGCCCUGCUGGGAAGUUGUUUUGUUAUCAGGGAAAGUCACUUCCUUCUGUCAGCCUCCUCCAUGAAAUCGAGGUGACCUAGUUGACCCCCUGGGCCCCUCCCAGGUAUGAUCUUUUAAGAAGCCUGAGGAGCUUUCCUUUUUAGGUGAGCAGGCCUAACCCUUCUGCCAAGUUGUUACGGCAAUAAAAAUCAUCAUAAAAUUUUUUUUAAUGUUAUGCAUAAACCUUUCAAUAACAAGUAUAUUUGGUACAGGGUGGUUUUCAACCCUGGCUGAACAUUAAAAUCAUCUGGGGAACUUUUAAAAAAUAUUACCAGUGCCUGGGAUCUACCCUGGAAUGAUGAAAUCAGAACAUCUGGGGGCUGGUGCUGAGCAUCUGUAUUUUCUCAAAGCACCCCAGCUUUUUUUUUUUUUUUUUUUUUUUGAGUCAGAGUCUCGCUCAGUUGCCCAGGCUGGAGUGCAGUGGCGCGAUCUCAGCUCACUGCAAUCUCUACCUCCCGGGUUCACGCCAUUCUCCUGCCUCAGCCUCCCGAGUAGCUGGGACUACAGGCGCCCACCACUACGCCCAGCUAAUUUUUUUGUAUUUUUAGUAGAGACGGGGUUUUACCAUGUUAGCCAGGAUGGUCUCGAUCUCCUGACCUCGUGAUCUGCCCAUCUCGGCCUCCCAAAGUGCUGGGAUUACAGGCGUGAGCCACCGUGCCCAGCCCACCCCAGCUUUUGUGUUAUGCACUGGGGUUGUGAAAUACCCGGGGACCUGGGAAGGCUGACAAUAGGAGGUGAGCUUGAGUGUGCCCAAAGAAAGGCAAAGAAAGGCUUAUUAUUAGGGGUGUGAUUUAAGUGUUUCCGAUUAACAGUGGAGGAAGGAAACUUAAAACUGUACUUUGAAGUUACCAAGCUGUAGGUUAUUCUUAUAGUUAAGUGUAGCCCAUUUGGCUUGUGUAACUUAUUUUUCAUAUACUUCAAGGCCGGGAAACUUCAGAAGUGUUACAGCAAGUUCUUUGGCCACCUCCUCACUAGCUGGCUCCCACUGAAAGUGUUAGCCACAUGCCAGCCACCGUUGUAGGGAAAUCACACUUAGGAUAUUUUACUUGCACGCAGCAGAGAGGUUGCUGUUAUCCUCCCCAUUUUACAGAGAAGGACGUGGAGGCCCAGAGAGGCUACGUAAUUUUCUCUGGGUCCCAAAACCUGUAAAUAGUAGAGAAGGGGAUCAAACUUGUUUAUCUUACUCUAAGCUACCCCGCUCUUUCUACUAUACUUAAUGCCUCUUAGAAUGAUGCUGGACUUGUUGAUUUGUCAGCUGCUUGCCCUUGGUGGGAGGGCGUUUGGCUUUCUUUUUAAGAUAGGAGAGAAAACAUGAGAGGAGAAAUCAGCUUCUGCAGAGAUUACCUUAGAGAUUGAGCAAGGCAGUGUAAUGUAAUGAAAACAUGCACCAGAGCAGGGGCCUCUAGCCCCAGGGGCAGGCUUGCAAUUAGAACUGGGCUAAAAGAAAGAAAAUUGUGGGAGGGUCCAAAUGAGUAUAUGGGAAAUAUGCUUUUUGUUUAACUGUGAUACCUUUGGUGUCAUUGAUGUGACUUAUGCUGUUUGCCUCUUUCAUUCCAAGAUGACACACCUCUGUGGGGUUACUUUGUAUUCAUUCUGGACCUGGAUCAUUUUCAGGGGGUCCAUGCUAGAAUGUACUGCCAUGUGGGAACGCUGGCCUACAGAUCUAGUUAGGUCCUCUCCCACCGCCAUGCACUUAGUCACUUCACCUGCUGCCUUCCAAAACAAAUGGGCUGUGUGUGUCUCCUUCCCUUAACAAAGUAUUCUAUAAUCAUAUUUUCUAGCUUAAAAUUAGUCUUUUAGAUGUAAAACACAUCUAAAGCACUUUUAUUAAUGGAUCGCUUUCCUUCAGGGAUUACAGUGCUUAGUAUGAGGUGCUAACUCAUCUAUUUUCAUGCCAUAUAGGGAAGGAAAGUGUUAACUAUUUUCGAAUGUAGAGAAUACUUUUGUUGGGAGUCUCUAAACCUUAAACCCAGGACCUGUUUGACAAAACUGUCAUCUUCCCAACCCCCUGAAAAGAUAAUGCCCUAAAUCUAUCAUUUUUUUUUUUCUCGCCAGUAGGCAAAACUGGCUGUUUUCUGGUGUUAGUUGUUCCUACGUGUGGCUUGGAGCCAUGGCCACUUGGCUUCCUAGAUUGUGUCCCAUGAAUUCAAGCAUACGGAGCUCCCAGUCUGCUGCACGUGGCCUCCCUUGUCCUUCACAUCCCUGCAGCAGACUGUAGCAAACUUUCAAGUUAGCUUUUUAUUGCGUUCCACCCCCUACCAGGGGUGUGAUAGAGCAAACUUAAACUCAUGCAACUCAAAAUGACCAUGCUGGGUCUGUUCUAAGUUUGAAUUUGGACCUUGAUCCAGCCUUCACAUACUUUCUCUUAUAAAUUCCUUUUAAUGCUAGUUAAUAAAAAUAUAAUGGCUUUCCUGUCCCUUCUCAUAAUAACAUUGCCAGCUUUGGGGGUUCUUUGAAAACCUUGCUUGAGAAGUCCAUGGCCAAAAAAAACCAAAGAUAUUUGGCUUUAAAAUAUGGGCUUUGCUUACCAAACUCCUCUCUCUGAGGAAGGGAGAGAAAGAGUUGAAGGUUUCUGGGAAAGGAGCAUAGAAGCAACUCUUAACUCUGGCCACAUGGAUCUGCAGACAAAAUUAGGGCAAAUGUAGUGCUACAGAUCCCAUCCCCGGGCCUCACAGUGUGGCCAACCAUAUGAAGUCAGAUUUGGAGACUUUUUGGAGAUGGGGAAGCCACUAGACUCUUAGGCAUCUGGUGUAAAGAGAGAAUUUUUCUUUGCUACUUUUUUUUUUUUUUUUUUUUUGGGAUGGAGUCUUGCUCUGUUGCCCGGGCUGGAGGGCACUGGCGUGAUCUUGGCUCACUGCAGCCUCUGCCUCCCAGGUUCAAUAGAUUCUCCUGCCUCAGCCUCCUGAGUAGCUGGGAUUACAGGCACCCACUACCAUGCCUGACUAGUUUUUGUAUUUUUAGUAGAGACAGGGUUUGACCAUAUUGGCCAGGUUGGUCUUGGACUCCUGACAAGUGAUCCACCCGCCUCAGACUCCCAAAGCGCUAGGGUUACAGGUGUGAGCCACCAUGCCUAUCUAUCUUUGCUACUUUCUACUGGAAGAGAAGGCAGCCCUGAUUUAGUCUGUUUACAGUCUGCAUUAUGUGGAGAAUAGAAAGCCAUCGUAGUCCCUAAAACUUUUCUUGCCAGUUAACCCUACAGGACAACCUGUCUUUGUCACUUGACAACUGUUAACUGAGAAAAGGGCCCUUGCUCCUCUAGGUGUGCACAUUAAGGACUUUGCACAGUGUGGAUGUAGCUCAUGCUGCUCUGCCGUCUAGUACAUGCUGCUUGAAUUUUCAUCAUCAUCCUCCUCUCCUUCCACCUCCAAGAAAAAAAAAAGCGUGCAGGAAGUAGCAUUUCAGUUCCUUCUCCACCACCUCUGCUUCCCUUCUCCCUUCUUUUCCUCCUUGCAGCAUUCCCUUUAGUACCAGGGAGGGAUGGUGGUUGAAAAUGGGGGGAAUGAUGUUGCUCAGAAAAAAAAAACAGCCUAGACCUUAAGAGGUGAGGGGAAAGGAAAGAACACUUCAAGCAUAGCCCAGCCCAGGCGUGCCAGCUCCCACCCCAGCCUCCUUGUACCUCCCAUCUCUGAAGGAGGGUGAUGAAUUCGGUUUCCACCAACAUUAAACUGAUAAAUGAAAUUUGUAUGUUAAAACAAUGAUAAUUUAAUUGUAUUUUAUUUCCUUCUUUCCCAUCCACACUUCGAUCUCACCCCGCUCCCCAUUACCCACCCUUCAGCUUUGGGGAGGGGGUGGUGGAGGCUGUGCAGAGGCAGGGGCAUUGCAAGCUGUCGGUUUGCAUUGUGCGGAUGGGGAAAGGUCUCUACCUGGCUCAUUUUGUCCCCUUUGCUUAGGCUGUCACUGCUGACAGUCCUCAUGUUUAUUUCAUCUCGCGUGGUGGCUGUCUCGUUUCCCUACCCUCCGAUGUCAUUAACGCACAGAGAGCGGGCCCUGCAGUGUUGAGCCUAAUGAAUUCCGCUGUGGCUGCUCUGCUCCCCACCUCGUUACCAAAGCUCAAGGUGUCAAAUUAAACCCAGCCUAGAGAGAAAGAGAAAGUGCAGGAGAGAAGCAAGAGCAGGGGAAGAGGGAGGUGCAGAGAACACAUAAACAACCCUCCAAAAAGAAGAACAGUUGAAGGUGGGGGGAGAAGAAAGGAGGGGAAUGAGACAGAGAGGAGCCCACAAAUGGGUGACUUUCCUCCUGCGACCAAAUCCACUUUAAGCACGGUGACAUCCAUGACUCACAGCAGGACCUAAUGACCUAUUCUUCCCCGGGUGGGGUUUGUACCUUGGCCUUGGCUGCGGUUUGUUGCUUUUUCCUCGUUGUCUGGUUGAUUUAUUUUCAUGGUUUAUGCAGAUUGGGCACCUUGCAAAGCAGACAGAGCAAGUAAGAGGAGUCAGAGCUUAUGGAGGGAGGGUGUGUGUGUGUGUAAGGAAAAGUAGAAGCCAAAUGUGAGCUCUUGGUUUAGUGGCUGAUCAGCUGUGGAAAUCUAUGUUUCAAAAUGGUAGAAAGAGGAAAUCAUCCCAUUUCUUUUUUUUUUUUUUUUUUUGGAGAGGGAGUCUCUGUCACCAGGCUGGAGUGCAGUGGCACGAUCUCAGCUCACUGUAAUCUCAGUCUCCCAGGUUCAUGCCAUUCUUCUGCCUCAGCCACCCAAGUAGCUGAGAUUACAGGCAUGUACCACCACACUCAGCUAAUUUUUGUAUUUUUAGUAGAGACGGGAUUUCACCAUGUUGGCCAGGAUGGUCUCGAUCUCCUGACCUCGUAUAAAUUUAAAUAACCCCUGUGGGGGUACUCUAGCAGAUUUUCCUCCCCUCACUCCACCCCAAUUUGGAAAAUAGUGAUUCAUUUCAUCUCUUUUCUAUAUAACCUUGUGUCGUUUACAAAGCAUUUUCCUUUAUAUUAUUGGCAUUUUAUCUUUGGGGCAUUUUGUUGGAGAUGACAGUUAAUAGAUUCUUCCCAUUCUACAGAUGGGAAAAGUGAGGAAUAGAGAUGUUAACUUACUUGCUCAAGGUAAUAGAACUAGAAGGUGAGAGAAGAGGGUUACAUUUCAGUUCCUCCCUUUCUGGAAUUCAGUGUUUUUCCCUUAUACCACUAAACUUCCUAGAUUUUUGUCAAGAGGUGGGAGGAAGUUAAAGAUAAAUAAGCUUGUGAAUUUUAAAACUUGAAAAUUUAUAUACAGCAAAAUAGUUAGACCUAAGAUAUACAGUUUGAUGUGUUUUGACAAGUAAAUAUACUCAUGUAACCAACACCCCUUUAUCACCCUGGAAAGUUUCUUUCAGCCCUUUUUACUUCUCUUACCACCCGCACCCCCACCGCCGCAUCAUCAUAGUUUAUUUUUGCCUGUUUAAACUUUUUUUUUUUCCAGACAGAGUCUCACUCUGUCGCUCAGGCUGGAGGGCAGUGGUGUGAUCUUGGUUUGCUUCAAUCUCUACCUCCCGGGUUCAAGUAGUUCUCCUGCCGCAGCCUCCUGAGUAGCUGAGAUUACAGGUGUGCGCCACCAUACCCGGCUAAUUUUUGCAUUUUUUGUAGAGAUGGAGUUUUGCCAUGUUGGCCAGGGUAGUCUUGAACUCCUGACCUCAAGUGAUCUGCCUGCCUCAGCCUCCCAAAGUGCUGGCAUUAGAGGCGUGACCCACCACACCCAGCCUUGUUUAAACUUUGUUAGUAGAAUCACACAACAUGUGUACUUUUGUAUCCGGCUUUUACUUAUCACACUGUUUCUUGAGAUUUAUCUGUGUUAUUGCUUGCAUCAGUACUUCACCCCUCCUUAUUACCGAGUGGUAUUCUAUUAUGUGAAUACACCACAAUUUUUUUAUCCAGUCUCACUUGUUUUUUUUAAAUCUUUUUACGAUAAUUUGGUAUGUAAGACACAAUUUUUUAUAAGCGUUUUAGAGCACAUGGGUGAUGGCCUGGCUCCCUGAAUUCAGUGGCAGGGCCGUGGUGCUGGGCAAGAGGGAUGAGUGAGGGGCUGGGCAUGGUGCCUUACACCUGUAAUACUAGCACUUUUGGAGGCUAGGGUGGGUGGAUCACUUGAGUUCAGGAGUUCGAGGCCAACGUGGUGAAACCCCGUCUACUAAAAAACAAAAUUAGCCGGGCAUGGUGGUAGGCACCUAUAAUCCCAGCUACUUGGGAGACUGAGGCAGGAGAAUCGCUUGAACCGGGGAGGCGGAGGUUGCGGUGAGCCGAGAUGGUGCCACUGCACUCCAGCCUGGGUAACAGAAUGAGGAGUGAGCUGAGGCACAGGGCAGACAAAAGCCUGUCAUGACCACACCUCUCAAACCUGGGCCCACAAACCCGUACUUUAAAUGGCUUGGAACUUACUUGUUUCUUUGCUUGGGGCUCAUUGUCUGCUUCAUUGUCCUUGGCUAUUUAUGACAAUAGGCGUGACAAUAGAACAGCAUAUUCCUUCUUUGGAGUUUUUUGUGUUAGUUAUUUGAUUUUAAAAUUCUGCUCCUUUUUCCCAAGAUGAAAAUGGAAUUUUGUUUCUGAUAAAUUUUUCCAUUCUUUUCCAAACAGUAGAGUCAACUCAAGGAUAUCACAAAUCGGGACUAGAAAUUGCUGGCAGAUAUUCCAUAAACACAGUGCAUUGGGGGUAGGGUGUCUAGCUCUAAUAUUUGCAUUUUGUAGAUGGGGACAAUAUGAACAACUUUGUCACUCCACUAAGAUUUUUGGCACUUAGAAUGGCAAGAAAAUCCAGGUUCCCUUACUUAUAAUGUAGUGCUUUUACCUUGAACCAAAAAGGUAGGAUGUGCGUGUGUAUUUCCAGGGUCUCUGUGAUUUGUCAUUCGUAUUAACAGAAAAGAGGCCCAGUCUUUGGAACUCUGGUUAGAGUUGACAUCAUGGCAAAACAUCAGGCCUCAGGUUUCAUUGAUUUUAAACUUACUAUGUCGUGUGAUUAUCUCAUCACUGAUGGCCUUUGUCAUUAAAUCCACUGCUUCAGCUGGGUUGAACACAUUUGAGGAGGAACAGGAUCAAGAAGGUUUUUGAAAGAUAUGGACAAGUGAAGGAGAAAUACUGGAAUUUAAAUUCUUUCCUUCUUUUUAAAACUAUCCCUGGUGAUCUGUACUUUCUAAAGAGUCAAAAUGGGAAGAGAAUGGUCUGAGAGUGGAGAUUUGGUGGCAUCACAUCAGUAGUUCUACUUUCUUCUCCAUUCCCACACACGUAAACUUCAUGAAAAUAAACUCAGUUAUGCAGCAUUUAAGGCCUAUUCAGAAAGGAUUCAGUUGUAGUCAGUCAAUGGAAGAACCAAGAUAGUUAACCAAGUCUUAAGCAUUUCUCUAUUCAUUCAGCAACAUUUAUCGAACUGGGUAUAAGAAAUAGAUGAAGUCAGCCUCUGCCAUCAGGAGCUUGUGAUUGGGGAGCAAUGUGUGAUGUGAUCUGUAUUAUCACAGAGGGGAGCACAGCAUGUGAUGGGAAUGGAAGACGGGCUCCUAGCGUGGCCUUCUUGGGUCAAGGAUGGCACGCUGGAUUGGAUAACUCAGGGGAAGAACUGAUUUUAUGGAAAUUAUCCAAAGGAGUUAUUCAUUAAUUUAGCAUCUCUCCUCCCCAGUCUCUGAUGUGUGUUUUUUUUUCUUUUUCUUUUUUUGAGACAGAGUUUCACUUUUGUUGCCCAGGCUGGAGUGCAAUGGUGCGAUCUCAGCUCACUGCAACCUCUGCCUCCUGGGUUCAAGCAAUUCUCCUGCCUCAGCCUCCCAAGUAGCUGGGAUUACAGGCAUGUGCCACCACGCCUGUCUAAUGUUGUACUUUUAGUAGAGACGGGGUUUCUCCAUGUUGGUCAGACUGGUCUGGAACUCCCGACCUCAGGUGAUUUGCCCGCCUCAGCCUCCCAAAGUGCUGGGAUUAUAGGAGUGAGCCACUGUGCCCGGCCUCUGAAGUCUUUUUUAAACUGCCUGUCUUCUACAGAGCACCAUGCUAUGGGAGUGUGGUCUGGCUUUGGGAGUAGAAAAGUCCAAUGUUGAGUACAACAUUGAGAUACAUGGCUGUUGGGACCACUCUUAAUCUUCCAGCGAUGACCACCAUUUCUUGUAGUGGUUUGCUGAGACAGUCAAGACAGCGUGAAUAUUUCUGGUAACGUUCAGUGAAAUUUUUUCUUGUGAUUGACCUACUGUUUGUGUUUGCUGAUCUGGAACUUCAGUUGACCUCCUUGACUGCAAUCAUUUGUUCUGGUGUUGUGUGUUUGUUUACACUGGGCUUUAGAUUUGUAAAACAUUGUAUAUAGUUAAUGUGAUGUCGCCUCCCUAAAUCUUAGUGAAUAGUAUUUUACAUGGUAUCAAUAUGCAGUGAAACUACUAUGAUUGUCAUAGUCUAACAUGGUGUAAGGACUUGAUGAAGAUUUUGUAUGACAAAUGAGGCUGUGGCUGCCUUUGGGAUUAGUAGAUAUAUGGAACAGGAACAAGAACAAGAAGGCAUGUGGGUAUUCACCAUAACAUGAAUAGAUGGAGAUUAUAUAGAGACAGUUAGCCUUCAAUUGCAGGUGGAGAAUGGAAUUAAUAUGGAACAUUUAAAAAUAUUUUAGAAAUGAUAUUUUUAAAAGAGAGUCAAAAUAAAAUGCUUUCAUCUGAUUAUUUGACCAGAAAUUGGGCUGCUUAAUAUAAUGAAUAAUUCUUAGGAUCUAUCGAUAUGGCUACUCAAUGGUAAGAAGUGCCGCAUAAAUAUUGGUCUAAUAUGUAUAUAAUUAUGUAACUCUAGCCAGGUAGCUGGAUUAAAUAUGGGUAACAGCAAAAGCACUUCUGCCCUGAUAAAAAUCUUAGUUACAUUUAAAUACUUAAUAUAAUCAGCUCUUUUUCAAGUAAACAAUAAUUCAGGAGGCAAAUGUUUAGUACAUCUCAUAGAAAUUUUUUGUCUCAAUUUGUUUGCCUGUACAAUCUGCAUUCUUCUUAUUAAUUUAAUCCAUAUUUUGAAGAGUCAGAAAAGAAUUCAUCUCAUUUGAGUUAGUUUAGAUCAACAUACUGAUAUUGCUGAAUAUUUUCACUUCCCUGAAACUAAACAUAUCUAUUCCCUUCGUCUUAGACAAAUUAUGAGGGGAAACCUGUCUGAAAUUUGGCUAACACAUGGUGUGCAUUUGAUGCCACUGGAGGAUUUGCUUUGUCAAUUUAAGAUUGAGUGAUGGCUAUAGAGGAAAGUGACGGAAAAAAAAAAACCUUCUUAAUGUGAAAUAGAAAGUAUAAAGGACAAUAAAAUGCUACAAUGUACAGGAAAUUCUUGUAAUAUGACUAAUCAUGUAUGAGACUUGUAGAGAUCAGUUCUGCUACAGGUAUUCUUAUGUUAUAUAAAUGAUAUUAUAAUAUCCUAUUACAUAUAUUAUAUUAUCAUACUAUACCAAGAAUAGAUAAUAUUUUUCAUCAACUGGUGAUUCAAGUGUGAGUUUAUACAUGGGUUGACUGUGGAUUGUAUAUAUAAUACCAAGCCUGUGUAAAAUAAAACAAAAACCCCCUUCAAACUCCCAUAUGGAAUAUUUGACUAAAGCAAUAAUAUUAAGAUAACAUACUCUAUUCCAAAUAAGGAUAUAAUUUGCUUUUUGAUAAAGCAAAGCAAAACGAUGGAGUGUAUUGGUACUGUUUUCCACAGAGUGGGAAGAUGAGAACACAUGUAGAGAUGAUAAAAUGUCAUUGGCUCCAAGAGACAAGCUUCCGAAAUCCAUGGUGGUUGAAGAACAUCAAAGAGGAGCAAUUAUUUCAGUGAUUAGGGCAGUUCCACCUGUUCUAAUUGAACAUUUCUAGGAUGUAGAAGAUGCAUCAUACAUUGGUAUCUAUUCAGAAGAUGGGGACAUCUGCUGUCUGUCAUGUAUCUGGGAGAUGUUUAUCUCAACAGGAGGCAAUAAUAAUAUGGUAAACCAAACCUAAUAUUAUCAUGAUGCAUUAAAACUGGGUUAAUUGAAGCAAUAAAAUCAAAGUAACAGUAAAUGCUUAUACAACAUGUUAAGUAAUAUUUACUUCAGUCUUAGAAAUGAAAUGAUAAUUUUACAUUCUAGCAGAUGUAUUUCUUGAUACCUGUUCUGAGAGGACAGAAACAAGGCUCAAAAUUCAUACAAGAGGCUAAUAACAACUUAGUUGAUAGUAAAAUAUGGAGCAUUGGAUGUAGAGUACAUUAACCUUCUUGUUUAAUCUGAGUUGACCUAUAAGUGGGCAUAUUGUUUUUUGGGGAAUCGGGAGUUUUCUGAAGUAGAAAGAAGCCCCACUUUUCCUUUGAUAGGGUACCAGUCAAGGAAAUAAAUGCUCUUUUUUCUACCUGAGUUAGAUUUGCCUUUUGUUUGCUCACCCUGAUCUGUGUGGCUUUAUUGACCACUACAGUUUAAGCCCAUGCAACCUGCAUGCUGUGCAAGAAAGAAAGGUGAUGGGCAGAUAGUCCCAGAGUUAAACUUCUGGUGCCUUUGCCACUGCAUGUCUUGCCAUCCUAUCAUCAUAGUAACUUUGGGUAUGGCCUCCCAGCAGCUUCAUUGUUAUGCCUGUGGGCAUUCAUGUCCCACUGUCAGGCAGAUUCUGGGGGACUGGGGAGCCAGAAUGAUGGGUGGCAGGCAGGUGGUAGAUGGGGAGACCUAAAGUCCAAAAGCUAGACCCCUUCUCUCUUAACUCAUAAUGGCAUUCAGAAGUUGUAAUUAUUUCACAAAUAAUAAAUGAGGUACAAAAAAAAAAAAA
Pongo pygmaeus (Bornean orangutan) is the source of this 17217-nucleotide long non-coding RNA. RefSeq lists it as uncharacterized. NCBI's taxonomy places the organism in Eukaryota, Metazoa, Chordata, Mammalia, Primates, Hominidae. The record is from RefSeq and is a predicted model, not a curated record. The transcript is spliced from 2 exons.